CUCGUAGACUCCUACGGGAGGCAGCAGUGGGGAAUAUUGCACAAUGGGGGAAACCCUGAUGCAGCCAUGCCGCGUGUGUGAAGAAGGCCUUCGGGUUGUAAAGCACUUUCAGUAGGGAGGAAGGUAGUGUAGUUAACACCUGCAUUAUUUGACGUUACCUACAGAAGAAGCACCGGCUAACUCCGUGCCAGCAGCCGCGGUAAUACGGAGGGUGCGAGCGUUAAUCGGAAUUACUGGGCGUAAAGCGCAUGCAGGCGGCCUGUUAAGUCAGAUGUGAAAGCCCCGGGGCUUAACCUCGGAAUUGCAUUUGAAACUGGCAGGCUAGAGUCUUGUAGAGGGGGUAGAAUUUCAGGUGUAGCGGUGAAAUGCGUAGAGAUCUGAAGGAAUUACCAGUGGCGAAGGCGGCCCCCUGGACAAAGACUGACGCUCAGAUGCGAAAGCGUGGGGAGCAAACAGGAUUAGAUACCCUGGUAG
Molecule: ribosomal RNA, 474 nt
Filed under: uncultured bacterium
Lineage: Bacteria
Description: bacterial SSU rRNA
Rfam family: Bacterial small subunit ribosomal RNA
Source: RNAcentral